UAGAGUCCGGCUACUAUCCUAUAAUAGGAUUGGGACUAAUGUCCUAUCAAGUCGUUUUCAAUGAUCGACACUCCAAAUUGAUAAUCGGCAUCGUUGAAAUUGAUCUACACUAUAAGAAAUAUUUAAAAACCAAAUUUUCUAAUUUUUGAAAAUCAUUAUCAAGUCUAUCGAAGAGUCGAAAUAAUGAACGGUCAUAAAUGAAUAACCUUCUUAAAAUAGAGGUUAGACUUUCUCAAAUCAUGAUCAGAGUUAUCAAAUAUUAUCUAAAUAGUAUAAAAAAUUUUCUGUCAAAAAUUCAAGCAGUUUGGAUUACUCUAUACCGUUAAACAAGCAAACAGCUCAUAUAGGCCGUCAAAAAUUGUCGAUUUUACGAUCCUUUGAUCACCAUGUAAACGAUCUUUAAAAUUUCUAAAAUUUAGUUUCUAAAUACUUCAAAUACUCUAGAUCAACUUUAAUGGUUCCGAUCAUCGAUUCGGCAUCUCUAUCAUCGAGAACGACUUGAUAAGACGAUGAUCUCUAUCCUAUUAAUAGGAUAGUAGCUGAAUUCCAAUAUAUAUGUUCUGACAAUAAUAUAUACUGUUUUUACAAUAUUAAUUUUUCUGUGUUUAAUAUAAAAACUUUAAUUAUAGAAUAGAAACACACAAAUUGUUUUUUUUAUUUUGAGAAAUAGGUAGCAAGCUAACUGCUUCAUUUAUUAGAAAAAUGAACUAGACUUACAAAAUGGAAGCAGCCAGGACUUCCGAAAGGAAAAAAAAAAAGGAAAAUGUGGACAAAAAGAACAAAAAUAAAAUAAUAAAAGACAACAACGAAACAAGUAAGCAAAGAACAAAACAAAAAAAAGUAGGAAACGGCGAAAAGGCCGAAAAAGGAGACGAGGCAGUCAGAAGCACGUAUUCUAGGCUGACGUCAGGAGUCUAACGCGAUCAAGGGCAGGGAGGGUUGGAGAGCUUCGCUCGGAAAAGAAUAUCGCUCCUCUCAGUCCAAACGACUCACCAAAUAGCUGUCAGUAAAGUUAAGGCUUCUAAUCUCCUCUGGGCAUCUAGUAAACUGAAGAGUCUUGUCCACAGAUCUUUCGCCUCCUCCGAGGGUGUUAUCAAGUCUUCUGGACCUUCCACGCAAAAGAGUAGAUAUAGAACGAACAUGCAGGAGGUCAUAAGGUGAUCGCAGCUUU
This 1171-nucleotide long non-coding RNA is filed under the name Ananas comosus (pineapple). RNAcentral's name for it is "long non-coding RNA (ACOM_LNC007618)". The record is from RNAcentral. Lineage: Eukaryota; Viridiplantae; Streptophyta; Magnoliopsida; Poales; Bromeliaceae.